Molecule: ribosomal RNA, 270 nt
Filed under: uncultured bacterium
Lineage: Bacteria
Description: partial 16S ribosomal RNA
Rfam family: Bacterial small subunit ribosomal RNA
Source: RNAcentral
AGUGAACGCUGGCGGCGUGGCUAAGGCAUGCAAGUCGCACGGGUGUAGCAAUACACCAGUGGCGCAAGGGUGAGUAAUGGAUAGCUAACGUACCCGAAUCCCGGGCAUAGCCAGUCGAAAGAUUGGGUAAUUCCCGAUGUUGUCACGAUGGGACAUCCUGUUGUGAUCAAAGGUGAGGACCGCAAGGCUUAUCGGUUUCGGAGCGGGCUAUCUGCUAUCAGCUUGUUGGCGAGGUAACGGCUCACCAAGGCUAUGACGGCUAGCUGGUCU